RNAcentral lists this ribosomal RNA (164 nucleotides) under Quercus robur subsp. robur. RNAcentral describes it as "5.8S ribosomal RNA". It matches the Rfam family "5.8S ribosomal RNA". From Rfam's summary of the family: 5.8S ribosomal RNA (5.8S rRNA) is a component of the large subunit of the eukaryotic ribosome. Lineage: Eukaryota; Viridiplantae; Streptophyta; Magnoliopsida; Fagales; Fagaceae. The record is from RNAcentral.
AAAACGACUCUCGGCAACGAAUAUCUAGGCUCUCGCAUCGAUGAAGAACGUAGCGAAAUGCGAUACUUGGUGUGAAUUGCAGAAUCCCGCGAAUCAUCGAGUUUUUGAACGCAAGUUGCGCCCGAAGCCAUUCGGCCGAGGGCACGUCUGCCUGGGUGUCACGC